UGUGGAUAUAGCUCAGUUGGUAGAGUGCUUGCCUCACAUGCACAAGACCCUGUAUUCAAUCCCCAGAACCACAA
RNAcentral lists this transfer RNA (74 nucleotides) under Marmota monax (woodchuck). RNAcentral describes it as "tRNA.Val". The record is from RNAcentral. Lineage: Eukaryota; Metazoa; Chordata; Mammalia; Rodentia; Sciuridae.